CACUUGAUGCCUAAGCCACAUUCCCAGCCUUGCCAUUGCCAUUUUACCUGCACAUUAUCCUAACUGUAUGGACAACAGCACUGCGUACACACAGUUUAGUUUCCCAAAAUGUGUCAGGUUUGAUUUCAAAUUACAAUCCUAGAUGCUCAAAUUUUAUAUACUUUAAUGGUACCAUUGCUUUCUGUCAGGAUGAACUAGAAAUGAAAUAAAACCCAUUGAGAUAGAAAUCAUGAAUGACUCAGUAAAUUUUUUAAAGAAAGGUUAUUUUAUUGACUGAAACAUGGACACAUUCUGAAUAGACCAAUUGCCAAAUCUCAUAGCAGGAGUUCUGUAGACUCAUCCUCAAGAAAACGCUAUACAGUGCAUGUGUGAGUGUGUGUGAGUGUGUGUGUGUGUGUGUGAGUGUGUGUGUGUGUGUGUGCUCCUGAGGUUUGAAUUCAGAAUCUGGCACCUGCUAGGAAAGUGCUUAAACACUGAGCUACCCCUACGUCCUCAUUCCAGAUCUGAUUAAACUCUCCACUCUGGAAACUUCUUUCAUCUCAAUAGCAGGAUGAAUUCACCUCAUUAGGAAGAUGUAGGGCCGCCAUUCUGCACAACCUUCCUCACAUCCCCAGUGUUGAGUAGCUUAGGACUUCCUCAUCCCACGAGCGAGCACCGUGUUAUGCUCAGGCACCUCUGGCCCCUUCCGCUCACAUUUGGUGUGAUGCAGUGCAUCCUCGUACACGGCAGGGUCAAGGUGAAGGGCGCCCAACUCGGGGCCAUGUUGCACCUCCAUUCUCCACCGCUCUCCACUGUCUGGAGGCUGCCGUGCAGAGCCUUUGGUUUCAGAAGGCACAUUCACCUUCCCCAGAGUUUGCAUAGAAAUAAUCCUCACAAGAUGGCAAGCCCAGCCCUUCCAGGACCCUACCUGGGAAACCUCCGGGGGGCAUUUCAUUAGCGGGACUCCAUCAU
Long non-coding RNA from Perognathus longimembris pacificus (Pacific pocket mouse), 951 nucleotides. RefSeq lists it as uncharacterized. The transcript has 2 exons. NCBI's taxonomy places the organism in Eukaryota, Metazoa, Chordata, Mammalia, Rodentia, Heteromyidae. The record is from RefSeq and is a predicted model, not a curated record.